UGUUGGAUCACGUUUCACUGAAGAACCUCUGUGAAGCCAGUGAAGUGUCAGAGUAAGCUAAAGGGAGCAUCUCCCCUAGAAGUAAYGUGACACAAGUACUGAUAAAAUGGAAUUCAGACUUCCUUUCAUCGAAGUGCUGUGAUGACUUUUCUGACCUUGAAGUGAACCAAUUUUAGAGGAUGAUUUGAAACUCUUUUCAUCCAAGAGCAUGGAACUGAGUAGAACAGUUCAAUACCGUGUCUUCCUGAAAGCACACAUCCUGGAAGCAGACUGAUUUCAGUAUCAUGUGUAUCAGAAUAAAGUUCAGAUUCUACAGUGCA
Molecule: long non-coding RNA, 320 nt
Filed under: Dromaius novaehollandiae (emu)
Lineage: Eukaryota; Metazoa; Chordata; Aves; Casuariiformes; Dromaiidae
Description: lncRNA (ENSDNVG00000002160.1)
Source: RNAcentral